RNAcentral lists this long non-coding RNA (293 nucleotides) under Mytilus galloprovincialis (Mediterranean mussel). Lineage: Eukaryota; Metazoa; Mollusca; Bivalvia; Mytilida; Mytilidae. The record is from RNAcentral.
AGGAAGAAGAAAAACCGUAUGUGGCAGAAACAAAGGCACACUCCUAUGUAUGAGAGAAAAUCGAGUUAUAAGUAUUUCAAAGGCAACAUACGGAAGAAGAAACUUAUUGACUUGUAAUCAGAAUGGUAAUGUUACAAAACGGUGGUGUGGUCGAACAAAUAAUGUUCUAGAAAAAGUAAAAACAAUGUGUAACAAUAAAAGAAAAUGUGAAAUAGUAUCACCAAACACAGUAUUUCAGGAUCCGUGUCCAGGAACAAUGGCUUACUUAACAAUUCGUUUUAUAUGUGUAAAAG